UACGUAGGGUGCGAGCGUUGUCCGGAAUUACUGGGCGUAAAGAGCUCGUAGGUGGUUUGUCACGUCGUCUGUGAAAUUCCGGGGCUUAACCUCGGGCGUGCAGGCGAUACGGGCAAUACUUGAGUGCUGUAGGGGAGACUGGAAUUCCUGGUGUAGCGGUGAAAUGCGUAGAUAUCAGGAGGAACACCGGCGGCGAAGGCGGCUUGCUGGACGGCAACUGACGUUGAGGCUCGAAAGCGUGGGGAGCAAACAGGAUUAGAUACCCCGGUAGUCCCUGA
RNAcentral lists this ribosomal RNA (278 nucleotides) under uncultured prokaryote. Its description in RNAcentral is "partial 16S ribosomal RNA". It matches the Rfam family "Bacterial small subunit ribosomal RNA", at positions 524 to 800 of the family's 1533-position model. The record is from RNAcentral.